This 494-nucleotide ribosomal RNA is filed under the name uncultured bacterium. RNAcentral describes it as "partial 16S ribosomal RNA". It matches the Rfam family "Bacterial small subunit ribosomal RNA", at positions 28 to 507 of the family's 1533-position model. The record is from RNAcentral.
GACGAACGCUGGCGGCGUGCUUAACACAUGCAAGUCGAACGGUGAAGCGCCUUCCUUUUUGGUGGGUGUGGAUGAGUGGCGAACGGGUGAGUAACACGUGAGUAACCUGCCCCCUUCUUCUGGAUAACCGCAUGAAAGUGUGGCUAAUACGGGAUAUUCUGGGUCUGUCGCAUGAUGGGUCUGGGAAAGAUAUUGUUUCGGUGGGGGAUGGGCUCGCGGCCUAUCAGCUUGUUGGUGGGGUGAUGGCCUACCAAGGCGGUGACGGGUAGCCGGCCUGAGAGGGUGGACGGUCACACUGGGAAUGAGACACGGACAAGACUGCGACGGGAGGCAGCAGUGGGGAAUAUUGCACAAUGGGAGAAAGCCUGAUGCAGCGACGCCGCGUGAGGGAUGGAGGCCUUCGGGUUGUGAACCUCUUUCGCCAGUGAAGCAGGCCUGCCUCGUUUGUGGGUGGGUUGACGGUAGCUGGAUAAGAAGCGACGGCUAACUACGUG